GAUGAACGCUAGCUACAGGCUUAACACAUGCAAGUCGAGGGGAAACAACAUCGAAAGCCUGCUUUUGAUGGGCGUCGACCGGCGCACGGGUGAGUAACGCGUAUCCAACCUGCCCACCACUUGGGGAUAACCUUGCGAAAGUAAGACUAAUACCCAAUGAUAUCUCUAGAAGACAUCUGAAAGAGAUUAAAGAUUUAUCGGUGAUGGAUGGGGAUGCGUCUGAUUAGCUUGUUGGCGGGGUAACGGCCCACCAAGGCAACGAUCAGUAGGGGUUCUGAGAGGAAGGUCCCCCACAUUGGAACUGAGACACGGUCCAAACGCCUACGGGAGGCAGCAGUGAGGAAUAUUGGUCAAUGGACGAGAGUCUGAACCAGCCAAGUAGCGUGCAGGAAGACGGCCCUAUGGGUUGUAAACUGCUUUUAUAAGGGAAUAAAGUGAGUCUCGUGAGACUUUUUGCAUGUACCUUAUGAAUAAGGACCGGCUAAUUCCGUG
RNAcentral lists this ribosomal RNA (492 nucleotides) under uncultured bacterium. RNAcentral describes it as "partial 16S ribosomal RNA". It matches the Rfam family "Bacterial small subunit ribosomal RNA", at positions 28 to 507 of the family's 1533-position model. The record is from RNAcentral.